This 512-nucleotide ribosomal RNA is filed under the name uncultured bacterium. RNAcentral describes it as "bacterial SSU rRNA". It matches the Rfam family "Bacterial small subunit ribosomal RNA", at positions 17 to 518 of the family's 1533-position model. The record is from RNAcentral.
UCCUGGCUCAGGAUGAACGCUAGCUACAGGCUUAACACAUGCAAGUCGAGGGGAAACGAUAUUGAAAGCUUGCUUCUUUAGGCGUCGACCGGCGAAUGGGUGAGUAACGCGUAUCCAACCUGCCCCUGAGUAAGGGAUAGCCCAUCGAAAGAUGGAUUAAUACCUUAUGGUUCCUUUGAAGGCAUCAGAUUAGGAAUAAAGAUUUAUCGCUGAGGGAUGGGGAUGCGUCUGAUUAGCUUGUUGGCGGGUAACGGCCCACCAAGGCGACGAUCAGUAGGGGUUCUGAGAGGAAGGUCCCCCACAUUGGUACUGAGACACGGACCAAACUCCUACGGGAGGCAGCAGUGAGGAAUAUUGGUCAAUGGGCGGAAGCCUGAACCAGCCAAGUAGCGUGCAGGAAUGACUGCCCUAUGGGUUGUAAACUGCUUUUAUACGGGGAUAAAGUCAGAGUCGUGACUCUGUUUGCAGGUACCGUAUGAAUAAGGACCGGCUAAUUCCGUGCCAGCCGCAGC